RNAcentral lists this long non-coding RNA (1205 nucleotides) under Papio anubis (olive baboon). RNAcentral's name for it is "lncRNA (ENSPANG00000038924.1)". Lineage: Eukaryota; Metazoa; Chordata; Mammalia; Primates; Cercopithecidae. The record is from RNAcentral.
ACUAUUAUCAUUCGUUUAUUUCUAUUUUUUAUUUUCACCAUUCUAAGACAAGGUGCAAGAGUGGAGGGAUUAGGACUAACUGUACAUCCCUGGCAUCUUCAGUUUCAAAUACGUGCUCAGUGAACAUUUGUUGAAUGCAUGAGCGCAUGAAUGAACUGCACAGAAUAAGAGAUGACAAGUUGAGUGUCAUGACAUGCUAGGGACUGACAACUAGAUGAUAGAUCUUCAAAUCUCUCACACAAACAAAUGUGACUUGGGGUAAAGCUCUCAGAGCUAUCAUCAGUUUAGAAAACAUUUGCUCUAUCCUUGUCACAUACAUUGUUUCACUUUUUUUGAGAAAAAAAUACUGGAGUAAACUUCUAAGUGUUACAAUGAUGCAAGAUUUUAAGCAUUUGUUUUUUGAUCUGUUGUAUUUUUCUCUUCAUUUCUCAUGUAAUUAAGGAUUUUAAAUGCCAUUUUGGCACAGGAUGUCAGAGCACAAGCAUGGUGAAAUGGAAUCUGUGUCAGGAAGAAGGUGGAAGAGAUAUGACAUUGGUUAAACAGAGAAUUGAUGAAAUAAGAAAAUAAGUUGAAAAAAUAAAACAAAACCAGGUGACAAAUUUCUCAAAGCCAGAGAAAGGAUUAAAAGUAUGGAAUGGAAUUAAACAGAAUAUCCAGGUGAUUUAGGUCUGCUGUAAGAAAAUCCAUAAAAUUAUACAGGGAUCUUCCACAGAUGUGAUAUUUUAGAGGACUCAAUAUUUUUGUGGAAUACUGGGACAUCCCUUGAAAAGUUAAAGACCAGACAGUGCCAUUUGUACUUCUCACCACUCAGAAAGAAACACAACAAAUGGUAGACCUCUUUGGGAUUCAGCGACAGUGUUUUGAAAACUUGGAAGACAGGGCUUAGAUGGAAUACAUGAGUCUGAUAAUGAAGGAGUGGAAGUAUCAGUGAUCCCACUCACCAGUACACCCAGGGACCACCUGAGGCAUUUGUGUUUCCUGUUCUCUCAUCAUUAUGCUCUCUCAGUCUAAAGUGGGUCACUUCCACAAGGAGAUGUAGUAAGAGUAUCACUAGACUUAAAGCUAUAAGUGCUGCCUGGAGAUUUGGGGCUCUUUGUUCCAGUAGACCGGCAGGUGCAGAAGGAAGUUACCAUGCUAAAAAAGUUUACUUUAUCAGGACAGAGAACUUGACAACCAGGGUCUUAUAUGUAAAAAUACCCGAAUAA